This is a long non-coding RNA of Papaver somniferum (opium poppy), 1224 nucleotides long. RefSeq lists it as uncharacterized. The record is from RefSeq and is a predicted model, not a curated record. The transcript is spliced from 2 exons. NCBI's taxonomy places the organism in Eukaryota, Viridiplantae, Streptophyta, Magnoliopsida, Ranunculales, Papaveraceae.
UCUUCCUUCUUCUUCUCUUUCCUUCUUUUUUUGUUCAUCUUCUCUCUGUCUAUCUCGAAUCAGAGAAUUUAAUAUUGAAUCUCGUUCAAGUAAGCUUAAGAGUUUCAUAAUCCGAUGGUGUUGAAGUUGGUUUAACUUUAGACGAAGAAGAAACGAUGGAUCAAAGAGAAACAUAAGUUAGGGUUUCAGGAAGAUAAGGUUUAUUGAAGAAUUUCGUGGAAUUGAAUAUGAAAUCGACCAAUUAAGGAUGGGUAUUCACUGUUAUUAGCAAAGAAGAAGAUUUGUUAGUAAAAUUUAAGAUUCACAGUGUAGGGUUGAAAAAAUUAGGGUUUUUAUGAUGAACUCAGAGAAGAUUUAGAAGAUGUGUUGAAGUUCGAGUGGGAUGAAUUCAUGUAGGUAUUGGACGAUCGAGUGGAAUCGAUUUGAAUUUAAGAUGGAAUGAAGUUUCAAGUGAUGAAGUAAUAAUUCAGAGAAAAGUUGGGGUUUCCUAUUGAACCGUGGAUAAUUGAUGAGCCUGUGAUGACAUGUUGCUGAAUUGGAUCAAGGUGAAGAGAAGUUUGGUUUUAAUUGCUUGAGCAGGACUAAAUUGAGUGUAGGUAGCGGUUGGAAAUGGAAUGUGUUUGGAACUGGAGAUGAAUUGUUGUUGCAGAUGAAGUCGAGUUCCACAGUGGUGUUUCGUAGCUGUUAGUGAUGUUUAUGGAAUUGUGGUUUUGAAAUUAUGAAAUGAUUGUGAAUCUAAGAACUGAAUGAUUAUGAUGAUUGUGUUAUGGAGCUAUGGUAAGUAAUUUAGACACACGUUUUGAACUACAUGGGACAAGAAGUGGAUGUUAUUGUUGAGCUUUGUAUUGAUUGAAGUUCGUUUGAAUGGUUGUUUGUGGAGUUGAGAAGUAGUGGUGUUGUUUUGAAGUGAGCUUAUUCAAGAAGAACUGAACUGAGAUUUCUGUUAAGGAAGUAAUCUGGUGUUGGGGGAGAGUGGUGAACUGAGUAUGAAUUGUAGUAUGGGAUUGAGCAAAUGAAAAAUAGUUAGAAUGAGGAUUUAGAAUGGUAGAUAGUGUUUGUUGUGAAAGCUUGGAAAAGCUGCAAUUACAGGUAUUCUAUAUUUGAAUUUGGAGUGAGUCAUGAAGUUUUUAUGCUUUGAUUGUAUGAUUGUAAUGAUUAGAUAAAGUUGUACAAUUUGAUAGAACUGAAGUAAGAAUGAAGAAGUUGUUUAGAGUUUGGAUUAUA